GAACGGACGAGAAGCUUGCUUCUCUGAUGUUAGCGGCGGACGGGUGAGUAACACGUGGAUAACCUACCUAUAAGACUGGGAUAACUUCGGGAAACCGGAGCUAAUACCGGAUAAUAUUUUGAACCGCAUGGUUCAAAAGUGAAAGACGGUCUUGCUGUCACUUAUAGAUGGAUCCGCGCUGCAUUAGCUAGUUGGUAAGGUAACGGCUUACCAAGGCAACGAUGCAUAGCCGACCUGAGAGGGUGAUCGGCCACACUGGAACUGAGACACGGUCCAGACUCCUACGGGAGGCAGCAGUAGGGAAUCUUCCGCAAUGGGCGAAAGCCUGACGGAGCAACGCCGCGUGAGUGAUGAAGGUCUUCGGAUCGUAAAACUCUGUUAUUAGGGAAGAACAUAUGUGUAAGUAACUGUGCACAUCUUGACGGUACCUAAUCAGAAAGCCACGGCUAACUACGUGCCAGCAGCCGCGGUAAUACGUAGGUGGCAGGCGUUAUCCGGAAUUAUUGGGCGUAAAGCGCGCGUAGGCGGUUUUUUAAGUCUGAUGUGAAAGCCCACGGCUCAACCGUGGAGGGUCAUUGGAAACUGGAAAACUUGAGUACAGAAGAGGAAAGUGGAAUUCCAUGUGUAGCGGUGAAAUGCGCAGAGAUAUGGAGGAACACCAGUGGCGAAGGCGACUUUCUNGGUCUGUAACUGACGCUGAUGUGCGAAAGCGUGGGGAUCAAACAGGAUUA
Molecule: ribosomal RNA, 731 nt
Filed under: uncultured Staphylococcus sp.
Lineage: Bacteria; Bacillati; Bacillota; Bacilli; Caryophanales; Staphylococcaceae
Description: bacterial SSU rRNA
Rfam family: Bacterial small subunit ribosomal RNA
Source: RNAcentral